RNAcentral lists this long non-coding RNA (230 nucleotides) under Homo sapiens (human). RNAcentral describes it as "non-protein coding lnc-CCDC171-9:1". Lineage: Eukaryota; Metazoa; Chordata; Mammalia; Primates; Hominidae. The record is from RNAcentral.
AUUAUCAUCCCCGAUAUGGAGGCGGGGAACCCAAAACACCAAGAGCAGUGGGUGCUUAGGAAGCCACAGAGCUGGGAGUAGAGCCCCAGCAGCCUGAUCCAGAGCCCCUGUUCUUCACCACCACCCUGCCCUCCUCCAGGGAGCACAAUGGGGGUCCCGGAGCCUCUUUCCAUCUGUUGGAUCUCGGUGAGAGAUCUUACAUUUGGAAAGAAGUCAAGGUAUAGUCUAAC